Molecule: long non-coding RNA, 792 nt
Organism: Juglans microcarpa x Juglans regia
Lineage: Eukaryota; Viridiplantae; Streptophyta; Magnoliopsida; Fagales; Juglandaceae
Exons: 3
Source: RefSeq, a predicted model, not a curated record
AAAAGAAGAGAAGAAGAAGGUCGUUGGGCAGAGCGACAGUGGUUCACUUGAGCGCGAAGGAAGUUACGCAGGAAUUAACAAUGGAGUGCGCCAGAAAAGUGAGGGGAACUACGUGUUUGGGUCCACCCAGAAGACGCUGUGUCCGCUGCGGAGCCGUUGCUUAUUGCUCCGUCUUCCACCACGUCCGUGAAAAGGAGGCCAGGUGUUUAUUCUGAGCAACAGCGGCAUCCAUCAAGUGGGAAUGUGGUUGCAUGAUUUCUCUUUUGUGUUGGUUACUUCCUCUGAUUGUGAAGGAGACAAAGGUCCUAGCAGUUUUUACCGAUUAUUGUGAAGAAGCUUGUCAUCUUGGAGCUUAUUGCAUAAGCACUAUAACUGGCCAUCCUCCCACAUUUCAUGUGUGUUUCACUUUCUUUCUGUCGCUUUUUCCCCAAGUUACUGUUUCAUUCUGUUCAAAAGCAUGGAUUUGUCACUGCUUAAUUUGAUUAGAUUCAAAAUUAUUCCUCUGCCUUGUAUAUACAAUUAAAUCCAUUCAGACAGCCAACGGUGGUUGAAAACGGUGCUUUAUUUCUCCCUUGAUACAGUAAUUGCUUCCUCUAUGGGAUGUGAAAUGGUCUUCUUUUGAUAGAUUCAUGGAGCUCUGGAAUCAAACCAUCAUUCCCUUGUGUUAUCUGCAGGUAUAAGACAUCUUACUGAUGCAGCUCUCCUAAAGUUUUUGGGUGUUCAUGGAAAAAUUUUGGGAGACGUGUGCGUUACUCUGGUGAUCAUGAUCUAGAGGCUUGACGCAACCUUAAG